Molecule: ribosomal RNA, 326 nt
Filed under: uncultured bacterium
Lineage: Bacteria
Description: bacterial SSU rRNA
Rfam family: Bacterial small subunit ribosomal RNA
Source: RNAcentral
AACGAACGCUGGCGGCGUGGAUUAGGCAUGCAAGUCGAACGUGAAAGGGGCUUCGGCCCUGAGUAAAGUGGCAAACGGGUGAGUAACGCGUGGAGAACCUGCCCGGAAGUGGGGGAUAACACUCCUAACGGGGUGCUAAUACCGCAUGUGUCCGCGCGAGCGCAUGCUCGUGCGGGUAAAGGUGGCCUCUACUUGUAAGCUAUCGCUUCCGGAUGGCUCUGCGUCCCAUAGCUAGUUGGCGAGGUAACGGCUCACCAAGGCGACGAUGGGUAGCUGGUCUGAGAGGAUGGUCAGCCACACUGGGACUGAGAUACGGCCCAGACUCC